Long non-coding RNA from Oncorhynchus tshawytscha (Chinook salmon), 838 nucleotides. NCBI's taxonomy places the organism in Eukaryota, Metazoa, Chordata, Actinopteri, Salmoniformes, Salmonidae. The record is from Ensembl.
GUAGAGAUGUAGAGAGAUUUACUGAGAGGUAGGGAGAUGUAAUGAGAGGUAGGGAUAUAGGGAAGUUUACUGAGAGGUAGGGAGGUGAAUGAGAGGUAGGGAUAUAGGGAAGUUUACUGAGAGGUAGGGAGGUUUACUGGGAGGUAGGGAUGUAGGGAAGUUUACUGAGAGGUAGGAAGGUUUACUGGGGGGUAGGGAGGUUUACUGGGAGGUAGGGAUGUAGGGAUGUAGGGAAGUUUACUGAGAGGUAGGGAGUUUUACUGGGAGGUAAGAAGGUUUACUGAGAGGUAGGGAGGUUUACUGAGAGGCAGGGAGGCUUACUGAGAGGUAGGGAGGUUUACUGGGAGGCAGGGAGGCUGACUGAGAGGUAGGGAGGUAGGGAGGUUUACUGGGAGGUUUACCGGGAGGUAGGGAGGUUUACUGGGAGGUAGAGAGGUUUACUGGGAGGUAGAGAGGUUUACUGGGAGGUAGGGAGGUUUACUGGGAGGUAGGGAGGUUUACUCGGAGGUAGAGAGGAUUUACUGAGAGGUAGAGAGAUUUACUGGGAAGUAUGGAGGUUUACCGGAAGGCAGGGAGGUUUACUGGGAGGUUUACUGGGAGGUAGGGAGGUUUACUGGGAGGUAGGGCGGUUUACUGGGAGGUAGGGAGGUUUACUGGGAAGUAUGGAGGUUUACUGGAAGAUAGGGAGGUUUACUGGGAGGUAGGGAGGUUUACCGGGAGGUAGAGAGGUAUGGAGGUUUACUGAGAGGUAGGGAAGUAGAGAGGUUUACUGGGAGGUAGGGGAGGUUUACUGGGAGGUAGGGAGGUAGGGAGUUAGAGAGGUGUACUGAGAGGUAGG